Molecule: RNA transcript, 1838 nt
Organism: Vigna radiata var. radiata (mung bean)
Lineage: Eukaryota; Viridiplantae; Streptophyta; Magnoliopsida; Fabales; Fabaceae
Gene name: cysteine desulfurase, mitochondrial
Exons: 3
Source: RefSeq, a predicted model, not a curated record
CAUGGAUUUGGAAACCCCAAGGAUCAAAUCAAAAUAAAAAUUAGGUCUUCUCUUUCUCUCUGCCUCAUUUUUCCAAGCAGGUGGGAAUAAUCCAUCCCACAAACCUCACCGAUCCAAUGACCUCUAAGCUAGUUGCUUCCAAUCUCCGUCACCACAUCACAAAAUCAGCCAAAAACCUCGGCCCGAAGCUUCUCUCCACGGCAGUGGAGGCGGCGGUCCCGGAACACGAUGGGAACAACUCGUCGGGAAUGACGAUGAAGGGCGUUCGAAUCUCCGGAAGACCCCUCUAUCUGGACGUCCAGGCAACAUCCCCGAUGGACCCGCGUGUAGUUGACGCGAUGCUGCCUUUCUAUCUCUCUCGUUUCGGAAACCCUCACUCUCGGACCCACUUCUACGGCUGGGAAUCCGACGACGCCGUGGAACACGCGCGCGCUCAGGUAGCAUCCCUCAUAGGCGCGUCCCCCAAGGAGAUAAUCUUCACCUCGGGUGCGACCGAGUCCAACAACAUCUCCGUCAAGGGCGUCAUGCAUUUCUAUAAGGACAAGAAGCGGCACGUGAUAACCACGCAGACGGAGCACAAGUGCGUGCUCGAUUCCUGCCGCCACCUCCAGCAGGAAGGUUUCGAGGUCACCUAUCUUCCGGUUGAAUCUGACGGAUUGAUUGAUUUGGAGAAGCUUAGAGCUGCGAUUAGGCCCGAUACGGGGCUUGUUUCGGUGAUGGCUGUGAACAAUGAAAUUGGAGUAGUUCAGCCGGUGGAGGAAAUUGGGAGAAUUUGCAAGGAGUUUAAUGUGCCGUUUCACACUGAUGCGGCUCAGGCGUUGGGGAAGAUUCCCAUUGAUGUGGAGAAGUGGAAUGUGAGUUUGAUGUCUUUGAGUGGGCAUAAGGUUUAUGGUCCUAAGGGAGUUGGGGCUUUGUAUCUACGUCGGAGGCCGAGGAUUCGGGUUGAGCCUCAGAUGAACGGAGGUGGCCAAGAGAGGGGGAUUCGGAGUGGUACUGUUCCCACUCCUUUGGUUGUGGGCAUGGGUGCGGCUUGCGAGGUGGCUAAAAACGAGAUGGAGUAUGAUGAGAAGAGGAUUUCUAGUUUGCAACAAAGACUCCUUAAUGGGAUUAGAGAGAAGCUUGAUGGGGUGGUGGUGAAUGGGAGCUUGGAGAGGCGCUAUGUGGGGAAUUUAAAUUUGUCGUUUGCGUAUGUUGAAGGGGAGAGUUUGCUCAUGGGGUUGAAGGAGGUGGCUGUGUCCAGUGGCAGUGCCUGCACUAGUGCUAGCCUGGAGCCUUCGUAUGUUUUGAGGGCGUUGGGAGUGGAGGAGGACAUGGCUCACACUUCUAUUAGGUUUGGAAUUGGGAGGUUCACUACCGAAGCUGAAAUUGACAGAGCAGUAAAGCUCACUGUUCAGCAGGUGGAGAAAUUGAGAGAAAUGAGUCCGCUGUAUGAAAUGGUCAAGGAAGGGAUCAACAUCAAGGAUAUCCAAUGGGCACAGCACUGAUCAUUAGGCUUUCCAAUUGCAUUUCAGUACAGAUUAUCACAUGACCUUCUCCAAUGCAUCCUAGCUCUCCCACAGCUUAAGGAUUACCUGUCAAGUUUAGCACUAUCUUUGUUCUUGGGUGGUGGAUUAGGGGAGCAAACGCAGUACAUUUUAUUUGUCGACGCCACAGGGAUGGGCCAUCUUCAAAACCGUGUUGCUGAUAUUUACAGCACAAAAAACUUGAGAGAAAAAGGCUUGUAUAUAUCAUGUCAUGUAUGUAAUGUAUGGGGGCAUUGGAAUCACUAUUCCUUUUCUCAUCGUGGUCCCCAACCCAACCUUUUCAGUUGUCUCUGUCUUGACCUUUGUUUUGCACCA